UGUGUUGCAACAGGGAGACUUGGAAAACGUGCAGGACAGCGGCCCUCCAGGGCCUGGGUUUCACACCCCUGCAUUAAAAGGUAACAAAACAGCAAAAAACUGCAGGGGAGGCACGGCAGCAGAUUGCCAGGUCCCCUAAUCCCACUGGCUUGCGAAGGUCGGGCGAAGGCCACUGUUUUGGACAAGUUGGGAUGGACAAGACAAGACGACAAGGUGGGUGAAUAGUGUACGUAUUUCAUGUUCCAGAAGUAGGAGUGCUCGGAGCAGAGCCUUUGUCCAGCCAUCGACAUGCAUACUAUGAGCCAGGCCAGGUGUCAAAGGGCCUGGUGUGCUGUGACAGGAGGGUGGGUGGUUUGCUGGUGGUGCAGGGCGGGGCGCGAUUGUCAGGGAAGUGGUCAAGGUUGGCCUGUGUAUUUUACCUUCGGUUAUGUCCGAAUCUCUGCAAAUCUUGGAUACAACAUGUCAGUGCUCCCUCAGGCUUCCCACUACCAGAAAGGUCAGCAAUACCAAUAACCUUUUUACGGAGCAGUUUAUUCUUUUCAGAGGGAUAAAAUACCACCAUAGAAAAAAAAACACUAAAAAUAAACCCUUCCUUCACCAAACAAGAAGUAAAUAAAUGAGGAUUAAAAAUUGAAUUACCUCCUAUAAAGCAAACAGAGGAGGAAAGGUCUUCAAACACAAAGGGCAAUCAAACUUGCUAGCACUUGCUGGCAGUGGAGAGAAGCGUAGACAUGAGACUGUUCAAAUAGUUCCUUGACCAAUCACGUAGCAGCAAUCAGGUGAGGUUGAAUGAUAAACACCUGCUCAAAAUUUAUUCAACCCGAACAAACACGCAGAGACCAUAAGAGAGGGGACAAUACAUACAAGACGAUACAUUUAUGACCUGCCCAGUAGGUUCUAUUUAACCAAAAAAAACAAACCUCUUACUCAAAUAUUCAAACAUAUAUUUGAGGAGUUGUUAAGUCACAAUUAUACCUAAAAUUAUCGGCGUUAAAAUGAGCAUGUUUUGUUUUUAUUUUGGGAUGCAUUAUUUUAAAUAAAAAAUACUAGUGUAAUCAUUUGUGAUGAGAUAUGUAAAUGGCAAGGUGUGGAAAUGGCUAAGUUUUUGUACUUCUUACUUCCUUAGAACAUGUAGUACAUGUUAAACUAUGACAACCAUGGGUGAUAUUUUCUUUCUUCAAAUUUUAACUUUUUUUCUUAUCACGUGUUUAUAUGUUUAAUAAAUCAAAAUCAAUCAUUCACCCAGAAGGACACUCUCACCCACCAAAAACACCCGUUACCAGCACCCCAUAAAAAACAAAAAAACUUCUCUUACUCAAAAACAGUCAUGCACACACACCCAAAACAUUCUUAAUGUAGUAAGUUGGCAAUUUGAAAAAUGUCACAAUCAUUUUUCCAUCUGAAGUCGAACAAUGACGGGUUGAUAAAAAUCCUGUUGUCAAUGUGUUUAACAGAUAAGAAUGGGACAACAUCAAAGCAUUUAUCGGUAAAAGAAUCUGUAAGCAUUCGUUAGUUGUGCAGGUCUACUUGCGACUAUGGCCCAUAGUCCACAACUGGGAAAAGAGAAAAAAAUUACGGAAAUUUUCACAAAUAAGAAACAACACUCAACUAAAUUAAGUGAACUUUAAAUCCAUCCAUUUACCCUCACGUUUGUGCUGACUUGGGUCAUUAGGAUUGUUGCUUUAUGAGUUUUUGUGGAUCGAGUGAGAGGUUGUUUUUUUUGGGGGGGGGGGUGAGCAUGUCAAUUAUAUUUUUGUUGUGAAUUUGGAUUUUUUUUUCAUUGUGAUGUUAUUUUUGGUAAAUGGGUGAUUUUUUGGGGGGGUGGGGGGGGGGGGGUAUACAACCAUAAGGGCAGCACUGUGAUCGACUGGUGAGCAAGUCUGCCUCACACUUCAGAAGUCUAUGGUUCGAAUCCGGGUGCCAGACUUCCUGUGUGAAGUUUGCAUGUUUUCUCCAUGCGUGUGUGGGUUUUCUCCAUAUACUCUGCUUUCCUACCAAAUUCCCAAAACAUGUAUGGUAGGUUAAUGGAACACUCUCAAUUGUCCCUCGGUGUGAUUGUGGGUGUGAAUGGUUAUUUGUGUGCCCUUCGAUUGGCUGGCAACUAGUUUAGGGUGGACCCCGCCUACUGCUAGAAGACAGCUGGAAUAGGCUGCAGCAUGCCCACGACCCUCGUGAGGAUAAGUACCAGUCAAGUCAAGUCAAGUACAACUUUAUUGUCAUAAGCAGCUCGGAUAAUGGACGGAUGGCUAUUCACGGGGUUUCAUGUGUUGUUCAAGGGCACUUUGACGUACCUGGGGAUUUACUGUAUUCUCGCUUCAGCUGUGGGAGCAGCUGUAGCUCUGACAAAGAAGACAAAGCCCCUCAAAGAACUAGAAAAUAUCCAACAGUAUCUUGCAGGACAAAUGUAGUGCCUACAGCCCUACACCAACCAGAUUCUCCAACUUCUGCCUGCCGCCAAAGGUAAGCUAGCACGGAUCAGAGAAGCUCCGAAUUCAGGCAACUUAUGUAAUCAGCUGAAAACCCAAAUGGAAAAAAGGCUGACCCCCUUCACGGGAUAUGAGUGGCUGAACACCUUUAGCCAUUCUGGCCAGAGAGGAAGGCAAAGGGCCUUCUUCUGAAAGAGCGACACCAUUGGCUCACUGAGUUCGUCACAAACACUAAUGGGGAGGGGAAUAAGUGCAUCAAAAUUAAGCACUUCAACCUGCCCGGCCAAACCUCCGAGCCUUCGGUGGAAAAGAUAGAGAUAUUAAAAAAGAAACAGUGACACUCUUUCAUUGGAUCUAUCAGCUGUAGUACCUGGACAGAGCGUGUGGAUCAGAACAGUGCGGCCUCAGUCCAAGGACCUGCUUCAACACCAAGGACCAAAAUGUGGAAACGGGUCAAAGGAGCUUGACAAGAAACUGGGCUCAUCACACAAAGCUCCCUGAAACGGGACUUGCCUCGCUCCGGUAAGGCUCAGGUGAAAUGUUGUGGAGCGUUUCCUGUCCUCCAGAUCGACUGAACCUGUGAAUAAAAAACACUCUGCUCCUGAAAAGAAAAAAAAAACAUGUGCCUAACACUUCGAUGUUCCUCUCAGAUGCAGGUAUUAAACUCAAGGCCCAAGGUGCCAGAUGCGGCCCGCCAUAUCAUUGUAAAACAAUCAUGGGUGUCAACGUGCAUGAUCCUUGCUAAAAUCUGUACCAAAAUGUCAAAUUGUCACAUGUAAUAAAUAGCCUUGAGAUUUUGCAAUAAUUUUGUUACCCUCUUCACACUCACUUGAACAACAAUCAAACAAACUACUACAGUUGACUGUU
Molecule: long non-coding RNA, 3293 nt
Organism: Hippocampus zosterae (dwarf seahorse)
Lineage: Eukaryota; Metazoa; Chordata; Actinopteri; Syngnathiformes; Syngnathidae
Exons: 3
Source: RefSeq, a predicted model, not a curated record